Molecule: long non-coding RNA, 735 nt
Filed under: Homo sapiens (human)
Lineage: Eukaryota; Metazoa; Chordata; Mammalia; Primates; Hominidae
Description: HSALNT0399054
Source: RNAcentral
UUAACUUGCUAUUUUGAAGGCUGAGAAAUCCAUCACGUUAUAUUGAUGUGUAUCUGGUUUGUUGACAAUGCUACGAAUACCAACCAGUGCUAUGAACAGGGUGUGUGGCCACGAGCAAGGCAGGUGAAGCCCUGUCCUCACAGUGCCAUGAACAAGGUGUGUGGCCACGAGCAAGGCAGGUGAAGACCUGUCCUCACAGUGCCAUGAACAGGGUGUGUGGUCACGGGCAAGGCAGGUGAAGUCCUGCCCUCACAGUGCCAUGAACAGGGUGUGUGGUCACGGGCAAGGCAGGUGAAGUCCUGCCCUCACAGUGCCAUGAACAGGGUGUGUGGUCACGGGCAAGGCAGGUGAAGUCCUGCCCUCACAGUGCCAUGAACAGGGUGUGUGGCCAUGAGCAAGGCAGGUGAAGCCCUGUCCUCACAGUGCUGGGGUUUCUCUGAUUACUGCUAGGCAUGUAAUGCUAAGCAUAUUUUCUUUCUGGUCUAUCAGCCUAGUUUCUUCUGAUGUGUAUUCCUGCCUUAUGGCCUUUCUCCAUGUUUCUAUCAUAUUUUAGUCCUAUUCAUAUUUAUUUGUAGUUAAUUUGUUUUUUGAGAUAGAGUCUUGCUCUGUUGCCCAGGCUGGAGUACAGUGGCGUGAUCUCGGCUCACUGCAACCUCCACCUCCUGGGUUGAUGAGAUUCUCCUGUCUCAGCCUCCUGAGUAGCUGGGAUUACAGGCGCCCACCAUCACGGCUGGC